Molecule: ribosomal RNA, 253 nt
Filed under: uncultured bacterium
Lineage: Bacteria
Description: partial 16S ribosomal RNA
Rfam family: Bacterial small subunit ribosomal RNA
Source: RNAcentral
GACAGAGGGUGCAAACGUUGCUCGGAAUUACUGGGCGUAAAGCGCACGUAGGCGGAUUGGUCAGUUAGGGGUGAAAUCCUGGAGCUCAACUCCAGAACUGCCUUUAAUACUGCCAGUCUCGAGUCCGGAAGAGGUAAGUGGAACUCCUAGUGUAGAGGUGGAAUUCGUAGAUAUUAGGAAGAACACCAGUGGCGAAGGCGGCUUACUGGUCCGGUACUGACGCUGAGGUGCGAAAGCGUGGGGAGCAAACAGG